RNAcentral lists this ribosomal RNA (1341 nucleotides) under uncultured bacterium. Its description in RNAcentral is "partial 16S ribosomal RNA". It matches the Rfam family "Bacterial small subunit ribosomal RNA", at positions 28 to 1381 of the family's 1533-position model. The record is from RNAcentral.
GACGAACGCUGGCGGCGUGCUUAACACAUGCAAGUCGAACGGUAAGGCUCCAGCUUGCUGGGGUACACGAGUGGCGAACGGGUGAGUAACACGUGGGUGACCUGCCCUGCACUUCGGGAUAAGCCUGGGAAACUGGGUCUAAUACCGGAUAGGACCGCACCGUGAGGGUGUGGUGGAAAGUUUUUUCGGUGUGGGAUGGGCCCGCGGCCUAUCAGCUUGUUGGUGGGGUAAUGGCCUACCAAGGCGGCGACGGGUAGCCGGCCUGAGAGGGUGGACGGCCACAUUGGGACUGAGACACGGCCCAGACUCCUACGGGAGGCAGCAGUGGGGAAUAUUGCACAAUGGGCGGAAGCCUGAUGCAGCGACGCCGCGUGGGGGAUGACGGCCUUCGGGUUGUAAACUCCUUUCACCAUCGACGAAGGGUUUCUGACGGUAGAUGGAGAAGAAGCACCGGCUAACUACGUGCCAGCAGCCGCGGUAAUACGUAGGGUGCGAGCGUUGUCCGGAAUUACUGGGCGUAAAGAGCUCGUAGGUGGUUUGUCGCGUCGUCUGUGAAAUUCCGGGGCUUAACUCCGGGCGUGCAGGCGAUACGGGCAUAACUUGAGUACUGUAGGGGAGACUGGAAUUCCUGGUGUAGCGGUGAAAUGCGCAGAUAUCAGGAGGAACACCGGUGGCGAAGGCGGGUCUCUGGGCAGUAACUGACGCUGAGGAGCGAAAGCAUGGGGAGCGAACAGGAUUAGAUACCCUGGUAGUCCAUGCCGUAAACGGUGGGCGCUAGGUGUGGGUUUCCUUCCACGGGAUCCGUGCCGUAGCUAACGCAUUAAGCGCCCCGCCUGGGGAGUACGGCCGCAAGGCUAAAACUCAAAGGAAUUGACGGGGGCCCGCACAAGCGGCGGAGCAUGUGGAUUAAUUCGAUGCAACGCGAAGAACCUUACCUGGGCUUGACAUAUACAGGAUCGCGCCAGAGAUGGUGUUUCCCUUGUGGCUUGUAUACAGGUGGUGCAUGGUUGUCGUCAGCUCGUGUCGUGAGAUGUUGGGUUAAGUCCCGCAACGAGCGCAACCCUUGUCUUAUGUUGUCAGCACGUUGUGGUGGGGACUCGUAAGAAACUGCCGGGGUUAACUCGGAGGAAGGUGGGGAUGACGUCAAAUCAUCAUGCCCCUUAUGUCCAGGGCUUCACACAUGCUACAAUGGUCGGUACAGUGGGUUGCCAGUCCGUGAGGGCGAGCUAAUCCCGCAAAGCCGGUCUCAGUUCGGAUCGGGGUCUGCAACUCGACCCCGUGAAGUCGGAGUCGCUAGUAAUCGCAGAUCAGCAACGCUGCGGUGAAUACGUUCCCGGGCCU